Vicia faba (fava bean) is the source of this 267-nucleotide non-coding RNA. Lineage: Eukaryota; Viridiplantae; Streptophyta; Magnoliopsida; Fabales; Fabaceae. The record is from the annotation of a GenBank genome assembly.
AUGAUAAGAUACCUUAGAAGCUACCCUUAUGCCAUUGAUCCUUUUAUUCCGAGGCGACCGUUCCGAGGAAACUUAUUCGAGGCAACUGGAUCAAUGGAACAUAAGGACUCACUAAGGCAUCCUUUACUUGAUGACCACCUUUCGAGGGAUAAGGCAACAGUGAAGCGUACCCUAGGGGUGCGUUUCAAGAGGUUAUCUUUGAUGUUUGUGAUUGGAAUACGCCCUACAAUGCUUGAGGAAGCUAAUGGGAUGGGAAUUUUGGCUUGA